CCGAUCGCCAGCGGCGCUGCAGGUUCUCCGGGAACCUAGCUUCUGCUCCAGGACCUCCAGGGCCACCCCAGCUCGCAGGGCGUUCGCAGCGGCUCAGGGCGAAUCACGCUCAUGGUCCCCGUGCGCAUUUUCAGCCCCAGCCGGGGAGGGACCCAGAGCUGGAGGCUUAGCCCUGGAGAUACCGGUGAAGAUGGAUGAAUGAGAAACCAGUUGGAGCUUCCAAGAGGCAGCUUCUUGAACAAAUACUUGAGGUCCUAUAUAGGUUUACGGGAGUAAACUGUUUUCUCCAAGCAGGCCUGUCGUCCAUCAGGAGAAGCAAAAGGUUUUAUUCUAGAGACAAGUCCUUCCAACUGUACAGCUGAUGGAGUGGCCAAGGAAACCUGGUCUUUCCAGAGACACAUAGAAGGUGCCAUCUAUGAGGAACAGGCCUUCACCAGACAUCAAAUCUGUUGGCAUCUUGAUCUUUGACUUCUCCACCGCCAGAACUAGAUCAAGACAUGAAAUCCAUGUUCAAGAUACUUUCCAGUGUGUCUUCAUGUGAUCCUCUGAGUCCAGCCAUCAGGCUACCAGCAGCUCUUGGAAACCCUGACAUACUUAUUCUUAGAAGACUGCUUUCCGGACUCAAAGUGGAACCUCAAAUUUUCAAUUUUCUUUGUUUUUAAAGCCUACACAUAGGUGAUGAUAUAUACAUGCAUAUAUAUUUUGGAGAAUUCAUAAUUCUGAAAACAAUGCUG
RNAcentral lists this long non-coding RNA (734 nucleotides) under Pan troglodytes (chimpanzee). RNAcentral describes it as "long non-coding RNA NONPTRT017282". Lineage: Eukaryota; Metazoa; Chordata; Mammalia; Primates; Hominidae. The record is from RNAcentral.